RNAcentral lists this non-coding RNA (23 nucleotides) under Gallus gallus (chicken). The record is from RNAcentral. Lineage: Eukaryota; Metazoa; Chordata; Aves; Galliformes; Phasianidae. RNAcentral also lists the same sequence under 1 other name.
UAGCUUAUCAAACUGAUGUUGAC